RNAcentral lists this ribosomal RNA (326 nucleotides) under uncultured eukaryote. RNAcentral describes it as "partial 18S ribosomal RNA". It matches the Rfam family "Eukaryotic small subunit ribosomal RNA", at positions 1470 to 1796 of the family's 1831-position model. The record is from RNAcentral.
CCCUUAGAUGUUCUGGGCCGCACACGCGCUACACUGAAGGAGGCAGCGUGUACUCCUGGAUCGAAAGAUUUGGGUAACCCGCGAAUCUCCUUCGUGCUAGGGAUUGAGGUUUGCAAUUAUCCUUCAUGAACGAGGAAUUCCCAGUAAGUGCAAGUCAUAAGCUUGCGCUGACUACGUCCCUGCCCUUUGUACACACCGCCCGUCGCUACUACCGAUUGAAUGGCUUAGUGAGUUGUUCGGAUUGUGUUUGUCUGUUGGGUUUCCUUCAGGCAUUCUGCGAGAAGAACUGCAAACUUGGUCAUUUAGAGGAAGUAAAAGUCGUAACA